UGUUAAUUGUGUGCCCCUUAAGUCUGACU
Molecule: non-coding RNA, 29 nt
Filed under: Mus musculus (house mouse)
Lineage: Eukaryota; Metazoa; Chordata; Mammalia; Rodentia; Muridae
Source: RNAcentral